GAUGAACGCUGGCGGCGUGCCUAACACAUGCAAGUCGAGCGAUUCUCUUCGGAGAAGAGCGGCGGACGGGUGAGUAACGCGUGGGUAACCUGCCCUGUACACACGGAUAACAUACCGAAAGGUAUGCUAAUACGAGAUAAUAUGCUUUUAUCGCAUGGUAGAAGUAUCAAAGCUCCGGCGGUACAGGAUGGACCCGCGUCUGAUUAGCUAGUUGGUAAGGUAACGGCUUACCAAGGCGACGAUCAGUAGCCGACCUGAGAGGGUGAUCGGCCACAUUGGAACUGAGACGCGGUCCAAACUCCUACGGGAGGCAGCAGUGGGGAAUAUUGCACAAUGGGCGAAAGCCUGAUGCAGCAACGCCGCGUGAGCGAUGAAGGCCUUCGGGUCGUAAAGCUCUGUCCUCAAGGAAGAUAAUGACGGUACUUGAGGAGGAAGCCCCGGCUAACUACGUGCCAGCCGCCGCCGUAA
RNAcentral lists this ribosomal RNA (468 nucleotides) under uncultured bacterium. RNAcentral describes it as "partial 16S ribosomal RNA". It matches the Rfam family "Bacterial small subunit ribosomal RNA", at positions 28 to 523 of the family's 1533-position model. The record is from RNAcentral.